This 1693-nucleotide ribosomal RNA is filed under the name Salmonella enterica subsp. enterica serovar Essen. Its description in RNAcentral is "partial 23S ribosomal RNA". It matches the Rfam family "Bacterial large subunit ribosomal RNA", at positions 1 to 1735 of the family's 2925-position model. The record is from RNAcentral. Lineage: Bacteria; Pseudomonadati; Pseudomonadota; Gammaproteobacteria; Enterobacterales; Enterobacteriaceae.
GUUAAGCGACUAAGCGUACACGGUGGAUGCCCUGGCAGUCAGAGGCGAUGAAGGGCGUGCUAAUCUGCGAUAAGCGCCGGUAAGGUGAUAUGAACCGUUAUAACCGGCGAUACCCGAAUGGGGAAACCCAGUGUGAUUCGUCACACUAUCAUUAACUGAAUCCAUAGGUUAAUGAGGCGAACCGGGGGAACUGAAACAUCUAAGUACCCCGAGGAAAAGAAAUCAACCGAGAUUCCCCCAGUAGCGGCGAGCGAACGGGGAGGAGCCCAGAGCCUGAAUCAGCAUGUGUGUUAGUGGAAGCGUCUGGAAAGGCGCGCGAUACAGGGUGACAGCCCCGUACACAAAAGCGCAUGUGCUGUGAGCUCGAUGAGUAGGGCGGGACACGUGGUAUCCUGUCUGAAUAUGGGGGGACCAUCCUCCAAGGCUAAAUACUCCUGACUGACCGAUAGUGAACCAGUACCGUGAGGGAAAGGCGAAAAGAACCCCGGCGAGGGGAGUGAAAAAGAACCUGAAACCGUGUACGUACAAGCAGUGGGAGCACCCUUCGGGGUGUGACUGCGUACCUUUUGUAUAAUGGGUCAGCGACUUAUAUUCUGUAGCAAGGUUAACCGUAUAGGGGAGCCGCAGGGAAACCGAGUCUUAACCGGGCGUUAAGUUGCAGGGUAUAGACCCGAAACCCGGUGAUCUAGCCAUGGGCAGGUUGAAGGUUGGGUAACACUAACUGGAGGACCGAACCGACUAAUGUUGAAAAAUUAGCGGAUGACCUGUGGCUGGGGGUGAAAGGCCAAUCAAACCGGGAGAUAGCUGGUUCUCCCCGAAAGCUAUUUAGGUAGCGCCUCGUGAAUUCAUCUCCGGGGGUAGAGCACUGUUUCGGCUAGGGGGCCAUCCCGGCUUACCAACCCGAUGCAAACUGCGAAUACCGGAGAAUGUUAUCACGGGAGACACACGGCGGGUGCUAACGUCCGUCGUGAAGAGGGAAACAACCCAGACCGCCAGCUAAGGUCCCAAAGUCAUGGUUAAGUGGGAAACGAUGUGGGAAGGCCCAGACAGCCAGGAUGUUGGCUUAGAAGCAGCCAUCAUUUAAAGAAAGCGUAAUAGCUCACUGGUCGAGUCGGCCUGCGCGGAAGAUGUAACGGGGCUAAACCAUGCACCGAAGCUGCGGCAGCGACGCUUAUGCGUUGUUGGGUAGGGGAGCGUUCUGUAAGCCUGCGAAGGUGGCCUGUGAGGGUUGCUGGAGGUAUCAGAAGUGCGAAUGCUGACAUAAGUAACGAUAAAGCGGGUGAAAAGCCCGCUCGCCGGAAGACCAAGGGUUCCUGUCCAACGUUAAUCGGGGCAGGGUGAGUCGACCCCUAAGGCGAGGCCGAAAGGCGUAGUCGAUGGGAAACGGGUUAAUAUUCCCGUACUUGGUGUUACUGCGAAGGGGGGACGGAGAAGGCUAUGUUGGCCGGGCGACGGUUGUCCCGGUUUAAGCGUGUAGGUGUGUGUUCCAGGUAAAUCCGGUUCACUUUAACACUGAGGCGUGACGACGAGGCACUACGGUGCUGAAGCAACAAAUGCCCUGCUUCCAGGAAAAGCCUCUAAGCAUCAGGUAACAUCAAAUCGUACCCCAAACCGACACAGGUGGUCAGGUAGAGAAUACCAAGGCGCUUGAGAGAACUCGGGUGAAGGAACUAGGCAAAAUGGUGCCGUAACU